Molecule: small RNA, 425 nt
Filed under: Pongo abelii (Sumatran orangutan)
Lineage: Eukaryota; Metazoa; Chordata; Mammalia; Primates; Hominidae
Description: retained intron
Source: RNAcentral
GGCCUGUUGCUGCUGCACAUUAUGAGUGUGUUCCUGGCAUGACUGCUUCUAACAGCAACAUUUCAUUAAGUUUUUAAGUGCCUGGCAAUUGCUUGGUUACAACCGGCGUCUGCUCCAUGGCAGCCUCUUCCUGGGACCAGAUCUGAACAGUCUGGAGAGAGGAGCUGUGCUGGCAGCAGACAGAUCUCUGCUUCAGGGGCCAGGUGUCCAGAAGAAAUGCUGAUGCAGUGUCAUGCUGGUGUGUGUCCUCCUUACAGAAUGCCUGAACAGUUCCAUUGACUCAAAGUGAAGAUCAAAAGAACCAAAUGACAGCAAUAGCUAAGUGUAAUCAUCAGUAACCCUGUGUUCUAUCCACGGGUAAAGAACAAUCAUCCUCUUCAUUAUGGGUUUCAAUUUAAAAUGUAAUACAUUUUUAGAAAUGCCUA